UUCGGAUUGUAGUCUGCAACCCGACUACAUGAAGCUGGAAUCGCUAGUAAUCGCGGAUCAGCAUGCCGCGGUGAAUACGUUCCCGGGCCUUGUACACACCGCCGUCACACCAUGGGAGUUUGUAACGCCCAAAGUCGGUGGCCUAACCUUUAUGGAGGGAGCCGCCUAAGGCGGGACAGAUGACUGGGGUGAAGUCGUAACAAGGUAAC
Molecule: ribosomal RNA, 209 nt
Filed under: uncultured bacterium
Lineage: Bacteria
Description: partial 16S ribosomal RNA
Rfam family: Bacterial small subunit ribosomal RNA
Source: RNAcentral